GGGGUUGACUGGAUUUGACAGCGAGGGAGUUGAAAUGUAAGCAUGCCGAGUGUUGUGAAUAUGACUCGAAAAUCCUAAUUCUCACAGCUAUGUAAAUGGCGAAAACAAUUAUGCUCUCGCAGCUUAAUUCUACAAAGUAGAAUAAGCCUAAUCCCGGAACUAGGUUUUGGGACGAGACAUUCCGCAGAAGGACAAGCCUUGUUCCUCACUGAUUACGGGGUGUAGCUAACUCAGGGACCGCUUUUUUCGCGCUUCGAGAAAAAAGUUAAAUAAAGAAGCUAAGGAAAAUGUUUGGGUGUCUUUUCCCGUUCAUUUUCUCGAAAAUUAAAAAAAGAAUAAGCAUGUAGAAAGCCUUUUGGCUACUUGUUUGGACGAGGGUUCGAAUCCCUCCAGCUCCACAA
Molecule: transfer-messenger RNA, 401 nt
Filed under: Bacteroidales
Lineage: Bacteria; Pseudomonadati; Bacteroidota; Bacteroidia
Also listed under: 1 other name
Description: UBA12170 sp003445975 Standard tmRNA
Rfam family: transfer-messenger RNA
About the family: Bacterial tmRNA, also known as 10Sa RNA or SsrA, is named for its dual tRNA and mRNA-like properties. Its role is to liberate the mRNA from a stalled ribosome. To accomplish this part of the tmRNA is used as a reading frame that ends in a translation stop signal.
Source: RNAcentral